This 68-nucleotide transfer RNA is filed under the name Marmota monax (woodchuck). It matches the Rfam family "tRNA". From Rfam's summary of the family: Transfer RNA (tRNA) molecules are approximately 80 nucleotides in length. The record is from Rfam by way of RNAcentral. Lineage: Eukaryota; Metazoa; Chordata; Mammalia; Rodentia; Sciuridae.
GGGGAUAUGGCUCAGUUGGUAGAGUGCUUGCCUCGCGUGUAAGGCCCAGGGUUCAAUCCCUAGCACCA